This 194-nucleotide ribosomal RNA is filed under the name uncultured bacterium. Its description in RNAcentral is "partial 16S ribosomal RNA". It matches the Rfam family "Bacterial small subunit ribosomal RNA", at positions 1307 to 1500 of the family's 1533-position model. The record is from RNAcentral.
GCAACUCGCCUGCAUGAAGUUGGAAUCGCUAGUAAUCGCGGAUCAGAAUGUCGCGGUGAAUACGUUCCCGGGUCUUGUACACACGCCCGUCACACCAUGGGAGCCGGAAAUGCCCGAAGUCAGUGGCCCAACCUUAAAGGAGGGAGCUGCCGAAGGUGGAGCUGGUAACUGGGGUGAAGUCGUAACAAGGUAGC